GACAGAGGUGCCAAGCGUUAGGCGGAAUCACUGGGCUUAAAGCGCGUGUAGGCGGCUAAGUAAGUCGGGCGUGAAAUCCCACGGCUCAACCGUGGAAGUGCACUCGAAACUGCAUAGCUAGAGUCCUGGAGAGGAAGGUGGAAUGCUUGGUGUAGAGGUGAAAUUCGUAGAUAUCAAGCGGAACACCGGUGGCGAAGGCGGCCUUCUGGACAGUGACUGACGCUGAGACGCGAAAGCGUGGGGAGCAAACAGG
This 253-nucleotide ribosomal RNA is filed under the name uncultured bacterium. Its description in RNAcentral is "partial 16S ribosomal RNA". It matches the Rfam family "Bacterial small subunit ribosomal RNA", at positions 524 to 776 of the family's 1533-position model. The record is from RNAcentral.